This 372-nucleotide ribosomal RNA is filed under the name uncultured organism. Its description in RNAcentral is "partial 16S ribosomal RNA". It matches the Rfam family "Bacterial small subunit ribosomal RNA", at positions 527 to 896 of the family's 1533-position model. The record is from RNAcentral.
GUAGGUGGCAAGCGUUGUCCGGAAUUAUUGGGCGUAAAGCGCGCGCAGGCGGUUCUUUAAGUCUGAUGUGAAAGCCCACGGCUCAACCGUGGAGGGUCAUUGGAAACUGGAGAACUUGAGUACAGAAGAGGAAAGCGGAAUUCCACGUGUAGCGGUGAAAUGCGUAGAGAUGUGGAGGAACACCAGUGGCGAAGGCGGCUUUCUGGUCUGUAACUGACGCUGAGGCGCGAAAGCGUGGGGAGCAAACAGGGAUUAGAUACCCUGGUAGUCCACGCCGUAAACGAUGAGUGCUAAGUGUUAGGGGGUUUCCGCCCCCUUAGUGCUGCAGCUAACGCAUUAAGCACUCCGCCUGGGAGUACGGCCGCAAGGCUG